RNAcentral lists this ribosomal RNA (497 nucleotides) under uncultured bacterium. Its description in RNAcentral is "partial 16S ribosomal RNA". It matches the Rfam family "Bacterial small subunit ribosomal RNA", at positions 28 to 507 of the family's 1533-position model. The record is from RNAcentral.
GAUGAACGCUGGCGGCGUGCCUAAUACAUGCAAGUCGAGCGAACAGACGAGGAGCUUGCUCCUCUGACGUUAGCGGCGGACGGGUGAGUAACACGUGGAUAACCUACCUAUAAGACUGGGAUAACUUCGGGAAACCGGAUCUAAUACCGGAUAAUAUAUUGAACCGCAUGGUUCAAUAGUGAAAGACGGUUUUGCUGUCACUUAUAGAUGGAUCCGCGCCGCAUUAGCUAGUUGGUAAGGUAACGGCUUACCAAGGCAACGAUGCGUAGCCGACCUGAGAGGGUGAUCGGCCACACUGGAACUGAGACACGGUCCAGACUCCUACGGGAGGCAGCAGUAGGGAAUCUUCCGCAAUGGGCGAAAGCCUGACGGAGCAACGCCGCGUGAGUGAUGAAGGUCUUCGGAUCGUAAAACUCUGUUAUUAGGGAAGAACAAAUGUGUAAGUAACUAUGGACGUCUUGACGGUACCUAAUCAGAAAGCCACGGCUAACUACGUG